RNAcentral lists this ribosomal RNA (256 nucleotides) under uncultured archaeon. RNAcentral describes it as "partial 16S ribosomal RNA". It matches the Rfam family "Bacterial small subunit ribosomal RNA", at positions 521 to 776 of the family's 1533-position model. The record is from RNAcentral.
UAAUACGUAGGUGGCGAGCGUUAUCCGGAAUUACUGGGCGUAAAGCGCACGCAGGCGGUUCGGCAAGUUCGACGUGAAAACUCCCGGCUUAACUGGGAGAGGUCGUUGAAAACUGCCGGGCUUGAGGCAAUGAGAGGGGUGUAGAAUUCCCGGUGUAGUGGUGGAAUGCGUAGAUAUCGGGGGGAAUACCAGUGGCGAAAGCGGCACCCUAGCGUUGUUCUGACGCUCAUGUGCGAAAGCGUGGGGAGCGAACGGG